Molecule: small nucleolar RNA, 202 nt
Organism: Sparus aurata (gilthead seabream)
Lineage: Eukaryota; Metazoa; Chordata; Actinopteri; Spariformes; Sparidae
Source: Ensembl
AAGACUAUACUUUCAGGGAUCAUUUCUAUAGUUUCUGACUUGAGAAAUGUGUUUGUUCUUGCUAACCAUGAUGAUGAGUCGUGAUAUUUCCUUCUGAGCAUGAAACUGACAGAGUAAUGUUUUAAUUCAUGUCUUCUGUCAUUGAUGAUUGUUCUGUACUUCUUUAUGGAGUACUGAAGAAGGGAAUAUGAUCAGAGUGGUG